Molecule: ribosomal RNA, 710 nt
Filed under: uncultured Fluviicola sp.
Lineage: Bacteria; Pseudomonadati; Bacteroidota; Flavobacteriia; Flavobacteriales; Crocinitomicaceae
Description: bacterial SSU rRNA
Rfam family: Bacterial small subunit ribosomal RNA
Source: RNAcentral
ACCGGCGCACGGGUGCGUAACGCGUAUGCAAUCUACCUUAUACUGGGGCAUAGCCCGGAGAAAUUCGGAUUAACUCCCCAUAGUAUUAUUGAGUGGCAUCAUUUGAUAAUUAAAGGUUACGGUAUAAGAUGAGCAUGCGUCCCAUUAGCUGGAUGGUGAGGUAACGGCUCACCAUGGCAACGAUGGGUAGGGGGCCUGAGAGGGUGGUCCCCCACACUGGUACUGAGACACGGACCAGACUCCUACGGGAGGCAGCAGUGAGGAAUAUUGGUCAAUGGGCGCAAGCCUGAACCAGCCAUGCCGCGUGCAGGAAGACGGUCCUAUGGAUUGUAAACUGCUUUUAUUGGGGAAUAAACCUUUCUACGUGUAGGAAGCUGAAGGUACCCAAUGAAUAAGCACCGGCUAACUCCGUGCCAGCAGCCGCGGUAAUACGGAGGGUGCAAGCGUUAUCCGGAAUCAUUGGGUUUAAAGGGUCCGCAGGCGGGAAAAUAAGUCAGUGGUGAAAUCUUACAGCUUAACUGUGAAACUGCCAUUGAUACUGUUUUUCUUGAAUUCGAUCGGAGUGGGCGGAAUGUGACAUGUAGCGGUGAAAUGCUUAGAUAUGUCACAGAACACCGAUAGCGAAGGCAGCUCACUAGGUCUGGAUUGACGCUCAGGGACGAAAGCGUGGGGGAGCACACAGGAUUAGAUACCCUGGUAGUCCACGCCGU